This is a long non-coding RNA of Cyprinus carpio carpio, 1430 nucleotides long. Lineage: Eukaryota; Metazoa; Chordata; Actinopteri; Cypriniformes; Cyprinidae. The record is from Ensembl.
GAGCAACUUGUUACUCUGUGUAUUGCGGGUGAUGCAGGAAAACAAUCUCACUAAUGGAUGUUUCUGUGGCUUCAUUCUGGAGGGGAGAGGUGAUGCAGAAUGGUUUUUUUUUUGUUAGUUUUUUUGUGCUUUUCACACCCUUUUUCAACCAAGAUAAAAAUAUAUAAAAAUUAAUUAAAAAUUUGCCAAAAAUAUAUAUUUAUAUGUAUGCCCUUAAACAGUGUCCAUUGGUAAUGAGUGCUUCCUAGGUGCAGUAUAAAUAAAAAUUGCAUUGUAUUUAAGAUUGUAUAUGUAUUUUAUUGCCCUUAUUGCCCUUCUGACAUACAUCGUAUUUUCUCACAACUCUUUACCUUUUCAGUCCUACUUGAGGUCUUAAAGUCUCUACUAAUGAGCUGACGAGUUAAAUCUGGUGUGUUAGAUGAGGAAGACAAUGCUGGGGUGCUCCAGGACAGUUUUGAAAAUCACUGCAUUUCAGAGACAUGUUCUUAAAUGUGACUCAUAUACUUAAAUGCAUGCACAGAUUUAAGGCAGCUUUAAUCACCUUUUUGGUAACUUCAGGACUUAACUGACAACAUAACUAUGACAGUGGGUGCUCAUAGUUUCUUUUGCACUUUAAAAAUUAAAUUAUAUAUAGCUCAUAACGCUGCAUUUAUGCAUGUAAUUGAAGAGCACAUGCUGUGAGCACAGUAUAAUGGCUGACAGGACAGGAAUUUUUUUUUACUGACAUAUGGCCUGACAACAUCUCAUCUGACCACAGUUCCCUUGUUACCUGUACCUUUUCUGCACUUAUUUGACUAGCGCCUGGCGAAGUUGGAGUGUGAGACUGAAAAGUCUCCUGUUUCAUGUGGUCAUUCUGCGUCUGCACCUAGUGGUUAGAGAGUUUGACUCCUAACCCUAAGGUUGUGGGUUUGAGUCUCGGGCCGGUAAUACCACGACUGAGGUGCCCUUGAGCAAGGCACCGAACCCCCAACUGCUCCCCGGGUGUGUGUUCACUGCUGUGUGUGUGCACUUUAGAUGGGUUAAAUGCAGAGCACGAAUUCUGGGUCACCAUACUUGGCUGUAUGUCACGUCACUAUCACUAUCACUGUUGUUAAUUGGGUUGACAACCCUAGCUCUGCCCAGUGUUAAUUGUGUUAAAUAUCUUUAAUGCGUUAAACUGAAAAAAUUAAUUGCAAUCGUUAACCUGUUAAUUUUGACAGCAUAUAUACAAUUUUUAUUUCAUUAAGCUCUGCUGUUUACAACAAACUGUAUAUUUAGCAUAUAUUUAAAAUACAUUUUGGCCUGAAAAAAUAGCUGAGUUUCACAAACGUUUUUGAAUUAAGAACUCCUUUCAUAACUGAUUUGAUCACUGAUUCCCUUAGUGUAAGUACACAGUCUUAUACCUUAUAUGUUUUUUAGCUUUUCAAAUACUUUUAAAAAGCUUUUUUUUU